AUGGAAUCCUCUUCCUCGUCAUCUGGAGCACGCUCGUCCUCCCAUGGUGAACCUCCUGGCUAUUCUCUGAACCCUUCCCCAAUUCCUUAUCGUGAGCAGCCGCUAGCAUACGAGCCAUCUGAAGAUUGCCCGUGCCACAAGAAAGCGGCGAGAUGGAUCUCCUGGAGCAACGGAAAUCCUGGUCGUAGGUAUCUGACCUGCCAGAGAUCUCGGGUAAGCAUUCAUUUGACAGUAUUUCCUUCUCCAUUCUUGCUGGAUCUUUCUCGCAUUCAUAUAUUUGGCACACUUUCUUGGCGAUGGAUUGAUGACCCUACUACGCCCUUUCUUCGCCAACUUUUGGUCGAUCUGCGUGACGCGGUGAACAACGUCCGGAGGGAGAACACUCAGCUUAGAGGAGUAAAUGCAGACCUGGAAAUGGGGAUUGAGGACCGAAGCACCCAGAAUAAUGCUUUGCGGGAUGCAUUGCGCAAGAUGAAGGAACAAAAUCAGGCUCUUGAAGAGAAGUUGGGGCAAACUGAAGGCCCGCUGAAUGUGAAAAACAAUGGUCAUCAGAAGCGGAUGCUUUUUAGUGUAGUUCUGAUAGUGAUGAUUGUGUUUUUAGUUAGCAAGCUUGCUGCUUAG
Molecule: ribosomal RNA, 621 nt
Filed under: Triticum aestivum (bread wheat)
Lineage: Eukaryota; Viridiplantae; Streptophyta; Magnoliopsida; Poales; Poaceae
Description: partial small subunit ribosomal RNA
Source: RNAcentral